GUGGGGAAUCUUGCGCAAUGGGCGAAAGCCUGACGCAGCCAUGCCGCGUGAAUGAUGACGGUCUUAGGAUUGUAAAAUUCUUUCACCGGGGACGAUAAUGACGGUACCCGGAGAAGAAGCUCCGGCUAACUUCGUGCCAGCAGCCGCGGUAAUACGAAGGGGGCUAGCGUUGCUCGGAAUUACUGGGCGUAAAGGGCGCGUAGGCGGACAGCUUAGUCAGAGGUGAAAGCCCAGGGCUCAACCUUGGAAUUGCCUUUGAUACUGGCUGUCUUGAGUUUGGGAGAGGUGAGUGGAACUCCGAGUGUAGAGGUGAAAUUCGUAGAUAUUCGGAAGAACACCAGUGGCGAAGGCGACUCACUGGCCCAAUACUGACGCUGAGGCGCGAAAGCGUGGGGAGCAAACAGGAUUAGAUACCCCAGUAGUCC
RNAcentral lists this ribosomal RNA (425 nucleotides) under uncultured bacterium. Its description in RNAcentral is "partial 16S ribosomal RNA". It matches the Rfam family "Bacterial small subunit ribosomal RNA", at positions 354 to 796 of the family's 1533-position model. The record is from RNAcentral.